GUCUUGUUAUCUCCAGCUCUCAAAUACUGUAUGUCAGUAGUAUAAAAAUCCUACCGCAAGAGUCGUCUGGCAGCUAGCUUUCAUCAAUCUAUUCGUUUACUGCACACAAGCGCUUGAGAUAUUCAUAGGCAAGUAUCAUGGAGGUUCCCCACGCUGACAUGCUGACAAAUCUUGGACCUAAUCCCCUGUAAAAUCCUGUCCAACCAUCCUCAGCAAUUAGCUGCUUAACUACUUGCCCUGCACUAGGUCUCUUAUCGUGUCCCAUCACCUGCAACCUAGUUUUAAUGGUGUCCAAUGGAGUUGUUAUGCAAGAUGCAGUAGCACCGGCGAUGAUCCCACCAGCAGCUUGAACUGACACUAUUUUCCCCUGGCUGGGAGCAGGCCCACCAUGCUCAGUUCCAUUAUCCAAGAGCUUGCUCCAUAUGAAGCGCUGGCUCGAACCAUAACUUGCCCACCAUACA
This 461-nucleotide unclassified non-coding RNA is filed under the name Hevea brasiliensis (rubber tree). The record is from RNAcentral. Lineage: Eukaryota; Viridiplantae; Streptophyta; Magnoliopsida; Malpighiales; Euphorbiaceae.